GAUUGGUUUUUAGGUUGCCAUCACUGGUCUUGUCAGAUCUCAGGAGCUAAGCAGGUCGACUCUGGUUAAUAUUUGGAUGGGUGAUUGCCUGGAAAUAUUAGGUACUACAGGCU
This 113-nucleotide ribosomal RNA is filed under the name Salvator merianae (Argentine black and white tegu). Lineage: Eukaryota; Metazoa; Chordata; Lepidosauria; Squamata; Teiidae. The record is from RNAcentral.